RNAcentral lists this ribosomal RNA (548 nucleotides) under uncultured Rhizophagus. RNAcentral's name for it is "SSU rRNA". It matches the Rfam family "Eukaryotic small subunit ribosomal RNA", at positions 548 to 1098 of the family's 1831-position model. Lineage: Eukaryota; Fungi; Glomeromycota; Glomeromycetes; Glomerales; Glomeraceae. The record is from RNAcentral.
UUGGAGGGCAAGUCUGGUGCCAGCAGCCGCGGUAAUUCCAGCUCCAAUAGCGUAUAUUAAAGUUGUUGCAGUUAAAAAGCUCGUAGUUGAAUUUCGGAAUCAGUGCGCUGGUCGUGCCUCUGGUAUGUACUGGUCUCACUGAUUCCUCCUUCCUGAUGAAUCUUAAUGCCAUUAAUUUGGUGUUUUGGGGAAUUUGGACUGUUACUUUAAAAAAAUUAGAGUGUUUAAAGCAAGCUAACGCUUGAAUACAUUAGCAUGGAAUAAUGAAAUAGGACGUUGAUCUUAUUUUGUUGGUUUCUAGGAUUGACGUAAUGAUUAAUAGGGAUAGUUGGGGGCAUUAGUAUUCAGUUGUCAGAGGUGAAAUUCUUGGAUUUAUUGAAGACUAACUACUGCGAAAGCAUUUGCCAAGGAUGUUUUCAUUAAUCAAGAACGAAAGUUAGGGGAUCGAAGACGAUCAGAUACCGUCGUAGUCUUAACCAUAAACUAUGCCGACUAGGGAUCGGAUGAUGUUAAUUUUUUAAUGACUCAUUCGGCGCCUUACGGGAAAC